Molecule: ribosomal RNA, 847 nt
Filed under: Gordonia amicalis
Lineage: Bacteria; Bacillati; Actinomycetota; Actinomycetes; Mycobacteriales; Gordoniaceae
Description: bacterial SSU rRNA
Rfam family: Bacterial small subunit ribosomal RNA
Source: RNAcentral
AGAGUUUGAUCAUGGCUCAGGACGAACGCUGGCGGCGUGCUUAACACAUGCAAGUCGAACGGAAAGGCCCGCUUGCGGGUACUCGAGUGGCGAACGGGUGAGUAACACGUGGGUGAUCUGCCCUGGACUCUGGGAUAAGCUGGGAAACUGGGUCUAAUACCGGAUAUGACCUUACAUCGCAUGGUGUUUGGUGGAAAGCUUUUGCGGUUCAGGAUGGGCCCGCGGCCUAUCAGCUUGUUGGUGGGGUAAUGGCCUACCAAGGCGACGACGGGUAGCCGACCUGAGAGGGUGAUCGGCCACACUGGGACUGAGACACGGCCCAGACUCCUACGGGAGGCAGCAGUGGGGAAUAUUGCACAAUGGGCGCAAGCCUGAUGCAGCGACGCCGCGUGAGGGAUGACGGCCUUCGGGUUGUAAACCUCUUUCACCAGGGACGAAGCGCAAGUGACGGUACCUGGAGAAGAAGCACCGGCCAACUACGUGCCAGCAGCCGCGGUAAUACGUAGGGUGCGAGCGUUGUCCGGAAUUACUGGGCGUAAAGAGCUCGUAGGCGGUUUGUCGCGUCGUCUGUGAAAUUCUGCAACUCAAUUGUAGGCGUGCAGGCGAUACGGGCAGACUUGAGUACUACAGGGGAGACUGGAAUUCCUGGUGUAGCGGUGAAAUGCGCAGAUAUCAGGAGGAACACCGGUGGCGAAGGCGGGUCUCUGGGUAGUAACUGACGCUGAGGAGCGAAAGCGUGGGUAGCGAACAGGAUUAGAUACCCUGGUAGUCCACGCCGUAAACGGUGGGUACUAGGUGUGGGGCUCAUUUCACGAGUUCCGUGCCGUAGCUAACGCAUUAAGUACCC